This 691-nucleotide non-coding RNA is filed under the name Nicotiana sylvestris (wood tobacco). RNAcentral describes it as "Eukaryotic large subunit ribosomal RNA". It matches the Rfam family "Eukaryotic large subunit ribosomal RNA", at positions 408 to 952 of the family's 3401-position model. The record is from Rfam by way of RNAcentral. Lineage: Eukaryota; Viridiplantae; Streptophyta; Magnoliopsida; Solanales; Solanaceae.
UCGGGAGGGAAGCGGAUGGGGGCCGGCGAUGCGCCCCGGUCGGAUGUGGAACGGUGUUGAGCUAGUCCGCCGAUCGACUCGGGGCAUGGACCAGCGUGGAUUGGGGGGGCGGCCAAAGCCCGGGCUUUUGAUACGCUCGUGGAAUGCCGUCACCUUGAUUGUGGUCUCUGGCAUGCUUCGGCAUCUGCGCGCUCCGGACGCUGGCCUGUGGGCUCCCUAUUCGACCCGUCUUGAAACACGGACCAAAGAGUCUGACAUGUGUACGAGUCAACGGGCGAGUAAACCCGUAAGGUGAAAGGAAGCUGAUUGGUGGGAUCCCCCUGAGGGGUGCACCGCCGACCGACCUUGAUCUUCUGUGAAGGGUUCGAGUGUGAGCAUACCUGUCGGGACCCGAAAGAUGGUGAACUAUGCCUGAGCGGGGCGAAGCCAGAGGAAACUCUGGUGGAGGCCCGCAGCGAUACUNUCGAUUAAAGUCCGUUCAGCCUUAAGAAAGGUCUGUUCGAAUCCAAGUAAGGUUUUGAUUGUUUUCAAGGUUUAAGGUGAGUUUCUUUCUUUUCUUUAUCUGUUUUGGUCCAUCUGAUUGUGGUAAAGGUCUGUUCAUGUUUUGAUUUUGUGUCUUUGAAUUUUUUCAACUGUGCCCUGUCCACUUUGCCUGAACCUCUGUUUGUUUGAAUGAGUCUUUCUAUUUGCU